This 268-nucleotide ribosomal RNA is filed under the name uncultured bacterium. RNAcentral's name for it is "partial 16S ribosomal RNA". It matches the Rfam family "Bacterial small subunit ribosomal RNA", at positions 521 to 788 of the family's 1533-position model. The record is from RNAcentral.
UAAUACGUAGGGCGCAAGCGUUGUCCGGAAUUAUUGGGCGUAAAGAGCUCGUAGGCGGCUUGUCACGUCGGGUGUGAAAGCCCGGGGCUUAACCCCGGGUCUGCAUUCGAUACGGGCUAGCUAGAGUGUGGUAGGGGAGAUCGGAAUUCCUGGUGUAGCGGUGAAAUGCGCAGAUAUCAGGAGGAACACCGGUGGCGAAGGCGGAUCUCUGGGCCAUUACUGACGCUGAGGAGCGAAAGCGUGGGGAGCGAACAGGAUUAGAUACCCU